This 510-nucleotide ribosomal RNA is filed under the name uncultured bacterium. Its description in RNAcentral is "bacterial SSU rRNA". It matches the Rfam family "Bacterial small subunit ribosomal RNA", at positions 267 to 768 of the family's 1533-position model. The record is from RNAcentral.
ACCUAGGCGACGAUCCGUAGCGGGUCUGAGAGGAUGAUCCGCCACACUGGGACUGAGACACGGCCCAGACUCCUACGGGAGGCAGCAGUGGGGAAUUUUGGACAAUGGGCGCAAGCCUGAUCCAGCCAUGCCGCGUGAGUGAAGAAGGCCUUCGGGUUGUAAAGCUCUUUCGGCCGGGAAGAAAUCGUGGUCUCUAACAUAGGCCAUGGAUGACGGUACCGGACUAAGAAGCACCGGCUAACUACGUGCCAGCAGCCGCGGUAAUACGUAGGGUGCGAGCGUUAAUCGGAAUUACUGGGCGUAAAGCGUGCGCAGGCGGUUUUGUAAGACAGAUGUGAAAUCCCCCGGGCUUAACCUGGGAACUGCGUUUGUGACUGCAAGGCUAGAGUACGGCAGAGGGGGGUGGAAUUCCUGGUGUAGCAGUGAAAUGCGUAGAGAUCAGGAGGAACACCGAUGGCGAAGGCAGCCCCCUGGGCCUGUACUGACGCUCAUGCACGAAAGCGUGGGGAG